Molecule: ribosomal RNA, 226 nt
Filed under: Vibrio parahaemolyticus
Lineage: Bacteria; Pseudomonadati; Pseudomonadota; Gammaproteobacteria; Vibrionales; Vibrionaceae
Description: partial 16S ribosomal RNA
Rfam family: Bacterial small subunit ribosomal RNA
Source: RNAcentral
UCCAUGAAGUCGGAAUCGCUAGUAAUCGUAGAUCAGAAUGCUACGGUGAAUACGUUCCCGGGCCUUGUACACACCGCCCGUCACACCAUGGGAGUGGGUUGCAAAAGAAGUAGGUAGCUUAACCUUCGGGAGGGCGCUUACCACUUUGUGAUUCAUGACUGGGGUGAAGUCGUAACAAGGUAACCGUAGGGGAACCUGCGGUUGGAUCACCUCCUUACCUAAGAGA